AAAUCCCUGCUGUGUGCGCAACAGUCCGAAGUUUUGAACCAACACUUUUACUUUGGGAGCCUGUGCUCUAGUGAUGGCGUGUAUGCCCCCGUUCGAGACGCUAGGGGACACAUAAAAUGACUGGGAAGGCACCCACCUGCCGAGGGCAGGCUCAAAACUUCGGCAAACGGCAUGGUGGGGCUUUA
Molecule: non-coding RNA, 185 nt
Filed under: Negativicutes bacterium
Lineage: Bacteria; Bacillati; Bacillota; Negativicutes
Description: 6S RNA
Rfam family: 6S / SsrS RNA
About the family: E. coli 6S RNA was the first non coding RNA to be sequenced, but its function was unknown until recently.
Source: RNAcentral